CGCCUUGCCAGCCCGCUCAGAACUUAAAGGAAUUGACGGGGCCCGGCACAAGACGGAGGAGCAUGUGGUUUAAUUCGAUGAUACGCGAGGAACCUUACCUGGGCUCGAACGUAAGAUGACUGUAGGUGAAAGCUUACAUCUCUUCGGAGCAUUUUACGAGGUGCUGCAUGGUUGUCGUCAGCUCGUGCCGUGAGGUGUCGGGUUAAGUCCCGUAACGAGCGCAACCCCUACCUUUAGUUGCCAUCAGGUUAAGCUGGGGACUCUAAAGGAACUGCCUACGCAAGUAGUGAGGAAGGCGGGGAUGACGUCAAAUCAGCACGGCCCUUACGUCCAGGGCUACACACGUGCUACAAUGGCCGAUACAGAGGGCAGCUACCUGGUGACAGGAUGCAAAUCUCCAAAGUCGGUCUCAGUUCGGAUCGGAGUCUGCAACCCGACUCCGUGAAGUUGGAUUCGCUAGUAAUCGCGCAUCAGCCAUGGCGCGGUGAAUACGUUCCCGGGCCUU
Molecule: ribosomal RNA, 505 nt
Filed under: uncultured Sphingobacteriales bacterium
Lineage: Bacteria; Pseudomonadati; Bacteroidota; Sphingobacteriia; Sphingobacteriales
Description: bacterial SSU rRNA
Rfam family: Bacterial small subunit ribosomal RNA
Source: RNAcentral